GCCCGGGUGGCGGAAUUGGCAGACGCGCUAGGUUCAGGUCCUAGUUCUCUUAACGAGAUUGGGGGUUCGACCCCCCCCUCGGGCACCA
This 88-nucleotide transfer RNA is filed under the name Planctomycetota bacterium. RNAcentral's name for it is "Planctomycetes bacterium (bioreactor metagenome) tRNA-Leu". It matches the Rfam family "tRNA". From Rfam's summary of the family: Transfer RNA (tRNA) molecules are approximately 80 nucleotides in length. Their secondary structure includes four short double-helical elements and three loops (D, anti-codon, and T loops). Lineage: Bacteria; Pseudomonadati; Planctomycetota. The record is from RNAcentral.